Molecule: ribosomal RNA, 416 nt
Filed under: uncultured bacterium
Lineage: Bacteria
Description: bacterial SSU rRNA
Rfam family: Bacterial small subunit ribosomal RNA
Source: RNAcentral
AAUAUUGGGCAAUGGACGCAAGUCUGACCCAGCCAUGCCGCGUGGAGGAUGAAGGUCCUCUGGAUUGUAAACUUCUUUUAUCUGGGAAGAAAUCCAUAUUUUCUAAUGUGGUUGACGGUACCAGAUGAAUAAGCACCGGCUAACUCCGUGCCAGCAGCCGCGGUAAUACGGAGGGGGCAAGCGUUGUCCGGACUUACUGGGCGUAAAGGGUGCGUAGGCGGUGGGGUGCGUUCGCCCUGAAAGCACCGGGCUCAACCCGGUGAGGCGGGCGAAUACGACCCGACUGGAGGCUCAGAGAGGGUGGCGGAACUCCUGGUGUAGUGGUGAUAUGCGUAGAGAUCAGGAAGAACACCCGUGGCGCAAGCGGCCACCUGGCUGAGUACUGACGCUGAGGCACGAAAGCGUGGGGAGCGAAC